Phascolarctos cinereus (koala) is the source of this 3340-nucleotide long non-coding RNA. RefSeq lists it as uncharacterized. Lineage: Eukaryota; Metazoa; Chordata; Mammalia; Diprotodontia; Phascolarctidae. The record is from RefSeq and is a predicted model, not a curated record.
GGUUCUAAUUCUUCUUUACAACAUGACUAAUGUGAAAAAAAAAAGAAAUCCAAAUCCUAUCCUCAGAUACCAUCUUAAUCAAGUUUUUAUUUCCCCAAUAUGUCUUUCUUUGUGCAGUCCUUGCCUUUUUUUUCAGCAGCAAUAAUGGAAAUACUGCCUGUGCCUCUAAGGUCUUCAACUUCUUUCCCCAGACCACACUGUCUUUAGAAAUGCUUUCUAGAUUCCUUCUUGCAAUAUCAUUUGUGCCCAAGAGGAUCACUAGAAAUGGUCAGGAAUUAUCCUGCUUAGCAAGUCUUGGGAAAUUUUCUGUUAUGUUUUGGAUAUGUGCUCUAGGAAGAGAGCAGACCUCUCUAUUUUUGUUAUUAGAUCAACAAAUAGCUGUGUCCCGACCCCUCAGUUAGGAAUCCCCGAGUAUCACUGCUCAUCUUUUCUUCCUCUUUUUUGAUAAUCUCUAACUUGACAACACCUAUGAUUAUAGGUCAUAAAUCUUUGGAGAAAGUGAAACUGUUUCAUCUUCAGAGAAUCUAGGAAUAGACUCCAUCAGGAGAAAUUUCCUCUCCCUCUUCACCCAGCCCCCCAAACUUAGAGAGGGGAGAGGUGUUCUUUGUGCUCCUUUAUCUUCUGUUCAGGAAGAAGAUCAGCCUGUACUUUGAGCACAGAUAAGUACCAUGGCAGAAAUGCAAGUGUUACACACGGUAUGCAGGUCACUGCUAAAUAUUCUCUUUCUCCAUGUUUCCUGGAAGUGAGAGCCUCAGAUCAUUUUAAUUUUUGCUACUAACUACCAUGGGAAACACAGACCCCUAUGUGUUCUAACUCCUUGGCCCUAGUUUACCUCCCUGAUUCAUGGAAACUCCUCUAAACGUUGUUUUUCUUCUAGACUGAUCUCCUUUGUAUGACUCAAGCAUAACACCUCCCUGCAGUGGAACUGUCAGUAUCUUCUGAGCUGACCUGAACCAAUCUUGCUGUUCUAUGGGAUGAGUGGCAUUUCCAUAAAUAGAGAUGGAGAGGAAGUCAUGAGUAAAGUGCCAUGCUGAGACCAUGUCUAUCACACUACAGAAGCAGAAAUGGAAGCCCCGAGAAUGGAAACAAGCGUCCUCCCCUUAUAUAAGUAUAAGCAGCAAAGCUGGGAUUCUAACAUAGGACCUGUGCCCAGGUUCUUUCUACUCCCUCACGAGCCAUAGAAUUGAUAGAAUCUGGAGACUGCUUCUGAUGAUGCUGUAUGACUGCAAACCACGGUACCCUCAGUUAUCUGAAGAAUUAAAGUUAGGAAUCGUCUGAAGAGUAAUGAAAAACUGCAUGCUCCAUUGUACCCACCUACUGACAAAAGAUCUAAAAAGCCGAGGAUUUGUGGGAGGUCAAGGACAAAAAUCACAUAGUAUCAGAAUUCAUGAAUUGCCCUAUUGAAAGGGAGCAUCCAUAUUACUGUGAUCACAGAUCCAACGAAGAAGAUCACCAGGAUAUCAAAGAAUCAAAGCCAAGAAGAGAGAAUGUUGAGAAAGAAGGUGUGUUCAGCAGUGUCUUUUGCUUUGGAGAGGUGUAGGAAAGUGAAGACAAAGAAACAGUCAUUGUAUUUUUCAAGAAUGACAUAAGUGUUGAACUUUGAGAAGGGCUUGAAGGAAGCCUGAACUGAUGACCUUCAUAUCAGGCUAGCCUCCUCCACAUGCUCAGGAAGUUAGCUAGCUCUUACUAUGACAGUAAGCUGACAUGUGAAGAUUUUAUUGGUUCAAAGUCAUCUUUACAGGAGAGAUAGUAUGGUACCUGGAAAGGACUAGUCUACUUAGGAGUCAGAAGACCAGUAUUUUAAGUCCUGACCGCUAACAACUGCAUCACCCUUGCUAAGUUAUUUAACCAUUCCCAGUCAAAGAAGCUAACUAUUCCCCUGACCAUGGCAUUCCAUCUCCUAUAUCUUCCCAAAUUGGAAAUGCACUGCCCCUUCCCCUCUACCUCUUAGAAUUUCCAGUUUCUUUCAAAGCUGAGGUGCAACCUUCUUCAUUAAGCCUUUCCCUAAUUUCCCCCAGCUAUUGGUUCUCUCUGUCUCUGUAUCUCUGUCUUUCUCUCCCCCUGCCCCUUCUUUCUCUUCUCCUCCCCUCUCUUGCUCUCUUUUUAAUAUGUUGUAUCUACUCUAUGUUUAUGUGUGUAUGUGUCAUAUCUUCCUAGUACAAUAUAAUCUCAAAAACUGGGACUAUUUUGUUUGUUGUCUUUUUUCCCCUAGCACCCAAAAAAGUGCCUUGCACACAAUAAACAAUAAAUUUUGAGUAAUCAAAUUUAAUAGGGGAGUGGUGAUGAGGAUCCAGUGCUAGGGCAUGUGGUUGAACAGAAGAGCAUAAAAAAGAGAGAAAUACUGGCACUAAAACAAGGCCGUUACUAGCUCACGUACCUGAAUGGACUUCCUUAGUGAGGCAGAGAAAUCUAGGGAAAGGGGAGAUAGUCAGACAUUGACUGAUCUGGAGAGAGAACUACACAUCUAUGAGUUCCCUCCAGAAAAGCAUGUGACUUCUUUGGGAACCACAUACAUGGAAAAACUUGUGCUGAUUGAAAACACAGAAGAAGCCGACAGAAGUUACUGAAGGACCGAGAAAGACCCAUACUUUGUUGGAAAGGAAGAGGAGACCCUCCAAGUGGAAGAUCUAUCCAAUAUCCAGUCAUGCUUUGGCGAAGCAAUCACAAUAGGAGGAUCAGUCCCUUUUCUGGUACAGUGAGUCAUGUGGACUGAAUAGGUCCCAAGGUAAAUUGGGAUCUACCAGAAAAUUGAAACUCUGCCUUGUGAUACCAAAUGCUGUCACAAGCCAUCAGAUGCCUGAGAAAGAGAUGACAUAUGCGGAACACACAUUGCCCUGACUGCCUCCCUGUUGGUCAGUGCUCUAGGAAACAAAGAGGGGGUCCACAUCAGGAACAUUUCUCCUUAGGAAACCCAGACAAUGUAACAGCAACCUUUAUAUUGGUCCUGACAAUAAUCCAAAACACAUUAAAGGCUCACAUAAAGGCUUCCAAACUAAGUGUGGUAUCUCUUGGCAAAGAAUAGGAAAACUUUCUCUUUAAUGUUCCAGAAAAUGCCAUUUCCUGCCCCCUCCAUCAACAUGCUGCCAUGGCAACAGAGUAGUACAACCUGCUGGCAGCCAACUCCUCCACUGUCCCCAGCCAAAGUUCUUAGAAGCUAAGGAUGGCCCAAUCUACUGUUCCCUUUACCUACAGCACUGUCAACUUCUCCAAUAACAAUGGCUGUCUUCAUAAGUGCUGUGUAAAGACAGUUUUAAGGCAAGGCAAUAACUCAAGUCAAUAAGCAUUUAUUAAGUGCUUAUUAUGUGCCAGACACUGUGCUUAGCACUGGGAAGAUAAAGGG